UGGGGAAUAUUGCACAAUGGGCGAAAGCCUGAUGCAGCAACGCCGCGUGAGUGAUGAAGGUCUUCGGAUUGUAAAGCUCUGUCUUUUGGGACGAUAAUGACGGUACCAAAGGAGGAAGCCACGGCUAACUACGUGCCAGCAGCCGCGGUAAUACGUAGGUGGCGAGCGUUGUCCGGAUUUACUGGGCGUAAAGGGUGCGUAGGCGGAUGUUUAAGUGAGAUGUGAAAUACCCGGGCUUAACUUGGGUGCUGCAUUUCAAACUGGAUAUCUAGAGUGCAGGAGAGGAGAAUGGAAUUCCUAGUGUAGCGGUGAAAUGCGUAGAGAUUAGGAAGAACACCAGUGGCGAAGGCGAUUCUCUGGACUGUAGCUGACGCUGAGGCACGAAAGCGUGGGUAGCAAACAGGAUUAGAUACCCUGGUAGUCCACGCCGUAAACGAUGAGUACUAGGUGUAGGAGGUAUCGACCCCUUCUGUGCCGCAGUAAACACAUUAAGUACUCCGCCUGGGAAGUACGAUCGCAAGAUUAAAACUCUAAAGUGAAUUGAC
This 545-nucleotide ribosomal RNA is filed under the name uncultured bacterium. RNAcentral's name for it is "partial 16S ribosomal RNA". It matches the Rfam family "Bacterial small subunit ribosomal RNA", at positions 355 to 914 of the family's 1533-position model. The record is from RNAcentral.